RNAcentral lists this ribosomal RNA (253 nucleotides) under uncultured bacterium. Its description in RNAcentral is "partial 16S ribosomal RNA". It matches the Rfam family "Bacterial small subunit ribosomal RNA", at positions 524 to 776 of the family's 1533-position model. The record is from RNAcentral.
UACAGAGGGUGCGAGCGUUGUCCGGAAUUAUUGGGCGUAAAGAGCUUGUAGGCGGUUUGUCGCGUCUGCUGUGAAAUCUCAAGGCUCAACCUUGAGCUUGCAGUGGGUACGGGCAGACUAGAGUGUGGUAGGGGAGACUGGAAUUCCUGGUGUAGCGGUGAAAUGCGCAGAUAUCAGGAGGGACACCGAUGGCGAAGGCAGGUCUCUGGGCCACUACUGACGCUGAGAAGCGAAAGCAUGGGGAGCGAACAGG